CACCCAAUCUGUUCUCCUUAUGGCUCAUAUUUCCUACAUGUUGUAUAAACCCUUAAUGUCAUGUGGGUUAGUCAGGACCUUAGAGCCCAAAGUAUGGACAGAAUGAAUAAUACCUAAGGCAGAUGUAGAAUUAAAGAAGAAGGGCUACAGAUCAGCUUUGCAUUUUUUGGUUUUGUUUGCCCCCUCCCUCCAUCCAGACUCUACAUACUACACUGAGAAUUGUUGUAAAGGAGUGUUGCCAUAUAACAGUGAAAAAAGGCAAGAGAAAGAGCAGGAGAUCUGGGCUCUUCCAGAGUGCUGGAUAUGCUUGGGAGGAAAACCCUUUAGUGGGAAUUAAACUACUAACCCAGGUGUAUAAACAGAACUCCUCAUACAUAGCUAACAAGCAAUAUUGCCAUUCAACUCCUUCACAUGACUUCUCACUGUGAAUAUAGCAAAUGCCCCAUAAAAUGAACCAUUUGGCUCCCAUAAGCACCUAGGAGUGCACAUGCACACACCUAUGUACCCAUACUUAGAGAUCCUAACAAUUUACCAACUGAAAAAACUUUAUUAAGAAUCAACUCUCUUAGGUACUAGAGAUACAAAGUCCAGUAUCAAAUAAUCCCUGAAUCCAAAAGUUUUACACACAAACUAAGAGAAGGGAAAUAAAAUUUGACAUCAUCUAAGACAAUAACUUAAAAAUGAUUGUGUGACUUCAGUAUUGAAGAGUCUAUCGUUUCAUGUAUGUCAUAUAUGUAUGACUGUAUCCAUAUAGGUCAUCUCGGUGGAACAAUGGAUAGAAUACUGUGUCUGGAGUCAGGAAUCUGAGUUCAAAUCCAGAACCAGAUGUUAACUAACUGCGUGAAGUUAUUUGUCACUUCAAAAUGUUUGCCUCAGUUUCCUCAUUUAUAUAAUAAACUGGAGAAAAAAAUGAUAAACCAGUCUAGUAUCUUUGAUAGGAAAAUCUCAAAUUGGGUCAUGAAGAGUUGGUACAUGCUUGAAAUGAAUGAACAACAAUUUAUAUACAGCAGGGGAUUUCCAGGUUAAGAUGGCUGCAGUAGUAGCAAGGGGCUCUUUCUUCUCACCACCAACCAAUGUGAAAAGCCUCAAAAGGACAAGAAGCAGAAUCAGAUAAAUGAAGGGGCUCAUCUGUAGGACACAGACUGAGAGGUACACAGGGUUUGGGCAUUUCAAUGCUAUAAGGGGAAAGAAUAUCUCAUACCAAGGAGGGAACUGAUCACCCUUCCCCCAUUACACCUACCACACCAGAGUGAAUCUGCACAAGCUCAGGGCAAUCUCUAGGUUCUGAGGAUGGGCUGACUGAGGGAACCACAGACUUGCCCCAAAGAUCAGAAAGACUUAGAACCCCAGGAGGCUGGUGCAGAGCUUAGGCACAGAGGCAGGGCUGAGACUGAAAAAUAGCCUCAGGGAAGUUCAAUACACAGAGAGCUGCCUACCUUCCUCACUCAGACUUCUGCCUGGGAAGGGAAGAAAAACACAACAUAGUAAUGGCCAACACCCAAGAAUUACAAUGUAUAAUUACCAAAAAAAGUAAGAAGAAGAAAAAGCGUUUGACUCUGGAUAAUUUCCACUUAGAGAAACAACAAACUACAGAGGUGACAGCAGAGGACGACAAAUAAGCAAACAAAUCCAAACUUUCCAAAAAAAUGGAAAUU
RNAcentral lists this long non-coding RNA (1655 nucleotides) under Monodelphis domestica (gray short-tailed opossum). RNAcentral's name for it is "lncRNA (ENSMODG00000041405.1)". Lineage: Eukaryota; Metazoa; Chordata; Mammalia; Didelphimorphia; Didelphidae. The record is from RNAcentral.